RNAcentral lists this ribosomal RNA (301 nucleotides) under uncultured eukaryote. Its description in RNAcentral is "SSU rRNA". It matches the Rfam family "Eukaryotic small subunit ribosomal RNA", at positions 4 to 320 of the family's 1831-position model. The record is from RNAcentral.
CUGGUUGAUCCUGCCAGUAGUCAUAUGCUUGUCUUAAAGAUUAAGCCAUGCAUGUCUAAGUUUAAAUAGAAACAGUGAAACUGCGAAUGGCUCAUUAAAACAGUUAUAGUUUAUUUGAUGAUCUUUACUACAUGGAUAACUGUGGUAAUUCUAGAGCUAAUACAUGCUGUACGGCCCAACUUUUAGGAAGGGUUGCAUUUAUUAGUUAUAAGCCAACACUUCGGUGUUGUGGUGAUUCAUAAUAACUAAGCGGACCUAGGCUCAGCCUAGGCGGAUCAUUUAAGUUUCUGCCCUAUCAGCU